Molecule: ribosomal RNA, 468 nt
Filed under: uncultured bacterium
Lineage: Bacteria
Description: partial 16S ribosomal RNA
Rfam family: Bacterial small subunit ribosomal RNA
Source: RNAcentral
GACGAACGCUGGCGGCGUGCUUAACACAUGCAAGUCGAACGGAAAGGCCCUGCGUUUGUGGGGUGCUCGAUUGGCGAACGGGUGAGUAACACGUGAGUAACCUGCCCUUGACUUUGGGAUAAAUUCAGGGAACUGGGGCUAAUACCGGAUAGGAUCUCCUGCUGCAUGUUGUGGGUUGGAAAGUUUCGGCUGUUGGGGAUGUACUCGCGGCUUCUCAGCUUGUUGGUGGGGUAGUUGCUUACCAAGGCUUUGACGGGUAGCCGGCAUGAGAGGGUGACCGGCCACCUUGGGACUGAGAUACGGCGCAGAAGCGUAUCGGAGGCAGCAGUGGGGAACCUUGCACAACGGCGGCACGCCUGAUGUAGAAACGCUGCGUGCGGGAUGCCGGCCUUCGGGUUGUAAACAGCUUUCGAAUGUGACGAAGCGUGAGUGACGGUAAUGGGUAAAGAAGCACCGGCUAACUACGUG